RNAcentral lists this transfer RNA (74 nucleotides) under archaeon. RNAcentral describes it as "tRNA-Ile". It matches the Rfam family "tRNA". Rfam says of the family: Transfer RNA (tRNA) molecules are approximately 80 nucleotides in length. Their secondary structure includes four short double-helical elements and three loops (D, anti-codon, and T loops). The record is from RNAcentral.
GAGCCUGUAGCUCAGCCAGGUAGAGCACUGGUCUUAUAUGCCAGCGGUCAGGGGUUCAAAUCCCCUCAGGCUCA